UUGUUUCAAAGUCUCGCGAGAACUGCAUCUCAGCAGCUGCAGUAUAACGUCAUCAUCAGCAGAUUAUGAGGCGAGAGUGAGCAGGGUAAUCCUUACACACCAUGAGCACCAAAUAAGACAUGGGCUCUUGAAAAUAUUACUUUCUCAGAAGCCUGCCUUCUGAAGUGUUGACACCUUGAUCACAUCAGAGAGGACCGAGAUAAUGGUUUCCUGUGGGCUCCAUCAACCGAAGACUAUUGGUGUUGGUGGUACUAUGCUCCUCUCCAGUUCAAGCCCCAUACAAGAGCACUAUCUGGAAGACAAAAACAGCAAUUAAUGAAGAGAAAACAUCAGAGGGGAAGGAGAAAGUCCACGACAUCAUCUCUUCAGACCUUUUAUGGAGCUCUCCAGUGGAGGGCUCAAAGCACUGGCCCACUUUCCCAUCGGAGCUUCCCACCAGCGCAGUCUUCACUCCCAUAGAGAACAGAAUAACACAUAGGGUUAAUGCAUUACAUACCAAAGCUCACAAAGUAAUCAUAGGUACUUACAGCAGUAAACAGAUUAAGUGGUAAUACUGACGAGCAAAUUCAUGCUAUCUUUGAAUACAACAAUAUAACAAAAAAUACAAAUACAAGUUUUUCCAACAUUGUUGAAAAACAGUACCCUGAAAAUUACUUAAAAUAAAGUGGCAAAACUGUAUUCAAAUAUUUAAUAUUACUUUAAUGCAAAUCAGCUACUACAAUUAGUGCUCCCUUAUUAAAAAAAUGUCUAAAAAUAUACACAUUAAAUAAAAAUAGAAGUAUUUUUCAGUAAUGGCUAUAUUAGAUAUGACAGCACACUAUAAAUUAAGGGAGAGUAAGGACUAUUUAAUAGGUGCAUGCAGGCACAUGCAGGCCGCAAAGAGAAUCAGAGCAGCAGUAGUAAUCAGUAGUAAUAAUUAUUUCAUGAUUACCAGAUUUUGUCAUAGGACAAAAAAAGGGUUGGAGCUCAGUGUUUCAAAUAUAAACACAUUGGGAAAAGAAAAAACUGGAGAUGGUGGUACAGAGGGUGGUAGAGUGAGUGGAUAGUAGUUCAAAACCAGGCCUGAGACAGAAGAAGCGCAGAGGCGGGUGAUGUAGCACAUUGUGUGGGUGAGCAGAGCACAUGCAGAGGAGUGAGAUUGAUGGAGGGGAAGUACCAGCAACAGUACAGACAAAUGGCUAGUGAAAGGUUUUUGAUAUUUUGUAUAGCCAAAUCAGCUUCACAAAUACAAUUACAGUAAGGGCUUUUAUCAAAUUUAUAGCUAAAGUAAGUCUUGGCCUUCUAUAUUGUAAAAUGUAUAGUUCUAGUGGAAAUGAAAAAAUGCAUUUCAAAAGCACAAAACAUCAGUUCUGUUUUGUAUGUUAUAUAAACUCUAACUUUGUCCUUAAUAUUCUGGAUAAAAAGACAAUGUAUAUGUUGCAUAAUUGAGGUCAUGGAGUAUUAUCCAGAGGCCCCUUCAAGGCCUAAUGGGAGUUGACAAAGCAUGGGACAGCUGCAGGGAUUGUUGCUAUGUGGCAAAUGCCUGCUGAAAUAGCCAAAUUAAUGGAAGGGCUCAUGUCCAGUGCAGGGUUCAAUAUCAAGCUACAUUUGAGAACAACCAGAUUUAUUACUGUAACUUCAAACAUCAAUAUUUACCGCUGCCAUGUAACACAGACACACAAAAUGGAUUUAGCAUGUAUUUUUCUUUGAAUAUCACCACUGAAAAUUUUGCAAAGCAUUUUAUCAAACUUUAAAAUACUGCAUUAUUUUCAACAAUCAAAUUGUAUUUUUUUCCUUUUGGCUAUUUCUUUUCAUAGGUUGUCACACACCUCCAUAUAACCAUGAAUCUGGUAAUUCACAAACCUCAAUAAAUCUCCCACCUCUGUCUAAACAAAAGCACUAGCCAAUUUGGGCCCUCUAUUCCCUAAUAUACCAAAAUAUGUGACAUAAACUGCACGUGUUAGUAUGAUUCCUGUAUCUUAAAAUGCUCCCUAACAGAACUUCAAUGCCUUCAACAUGGUAACCACUUAGCCUCUUGUCUUGUUACUCACAUCAAUUGCUGACAAAUGCAUAUAGCGUAAAUAAUAAUUCACUGAUGCUAAAAUAAUGCUUGUAGAUGGUCGUUAUUGAAUCGCAAUAUUUUUUCCGUGUCCCAAUAACAGACAAUAUUACAUUAUCAAUAUGACAGAAAUGUGGUAAAAUAUGUCAAAUGUAUUAGUUGAGGUUUAAGGAUCAGAUAAAUGUGAAAUGGCUGUAACUUUACCAAUAAAAAUACAAAAAUAUCACUUUA
Boleophthalmus pectinirostris (great blue-spotted mudskipper) is the source of this 2269-nucleotide long non-coding RNA. RefSeq lists it as uncharacterized. The record is from RefSeq and is a predicted model, not a curated record. Lineage: Eukaryota; Metazoa; Chordata; Actinopteri; Gobiiformes; Gobiidae. The transcript has 3 exons.